UGAGGAAUUGAGACAUAUAAAUUAUCUGCAUUCGCAUAUAGUUGUACAAAUGAAAUAGCAUUGCAACAAUGCAGGAGCACAUAGCGGGUGUGACCAGUCGGCAGGAGAUGCUCACUCAUCCAUGGCACCUGAUCCCAUUUCUGAUGUUUUAGAGUUCCAUUUUUGCUCUUGUCCAAACUUUUGUAUUGUUUAAUGGACUUCUGGGAUCUUUAAAUACUCUUUCCUAUCUCCAUGUAUUUCAAGGCUUGCUUUUUAACUGCGUUGUACAACUUCGAGAAUUUAUGCUGCUGGAACAAUUUUGAACAUGUUAUCCACGUAAAAAAAAACAUGCUGAACUUUCUUAUUUUCUAUAAUAUAAAAAUAAAUUACCUCAAAUAAUAUG
Molecule: long non-coding RNA, 382 nt
Organism: Saccostrea cuccullata (small rock oyster)
Lineage: Eukaryota; Metazoa; Mollusca; Bivalvia; Ostreida; Ostreidae
Exons: 4
Source: RefSeq, a predicted model, not a curated record